AGUUACUGCUAUCGGGGUUCGAUUAAGCCAUGCGAGUCAAAUGUUCUUCGUGAACAUGGCGAACUGCUCAGUAACACGUGGAUAAUCUACCCUUAGGUCUGGAAUAACCCCGGGAAACUGGGGAUAAUACCGGAUAGAUCAUAGAUGCUGGAAUGCCCUAUGUUCUAAAGCUCCGGCGCCUAAGGAUGAGUCUGCGGUCUAUCAGGUUGUAGUGGGUGUAACGUACCUACUAGCCGACGACGGAUACGGGUUGUGAGAGCAAGAGCCCGGAGAUGGAUUCUGAGACACGAAUCCAGGCCCUACGGGGUGCAGCAGGCGCGAACACUUUACAAUGCGGGAAACCGCGAUAAGGGAACCCCGAGUGCCAGCACCAAGUGUUGGCUGUCCAGAUGAUUAAAUCUCAUUUGUUAGCAAGGGCCGGGCAAGACCGGUGCCAGCCGCCGCGGUAACACCGGCGGCCCGAGUGGUAACCGUUUUUAUUGGGUCUAAAGGGUCCGUAGCCGGUCUGAUCCGUCUUUUGGGAAAUCUGGCAGCUUAACUGUCAGGCUUCUAAGAGAUACUGUCAGGCUUGGGACCGGGAGAGGUAAGGGGUACUCCAAGGGUAGGAGUGAAAUCUUGUAAUCCUUGGGGGACCAUCUGUGGCGAAGGCGCCUUACCAGAACGGGUCCGACGGUGAGGGACGAAAGCUAGGGGAGCAAACCGGAUUAGAUACCCGGGUAGUCCUAGCUGUAAACGAUGCUCGCUAGGUGUCAGGCACGGUGCGUCCGUGUUUGGUGCCGUAGGGAAGCCGAGAAGCGAGCCACCUGGGAAGUACGGUCGCAAGGCUGAAACUUAAAGGAAUUGGCGGGGGAGCACUACAACGGGUGGAGCCUGCGGUU
Molecule: ribosomal RNA, 878 nt
Filed under: uncultured euryarchaeote
Lineage: Archaea; Methanobacteriati; Methanobacteriota
Description: bacterial SSU rRNA
Rfam family: Archaeal small subunit ribosomal RNA
Source: RNAcentral